AGCGCAGGCGGUCUUUUAAGUCUAAUGUGAAAGCCUUCGGCUCAACCGAAGAAGUGCAUUGGAAACUGGGAGACUUGAGUGCAGAAGAGGACAGUGGAACUCCAUGUGUAGCGGUGAAAUGCGUAGAUAUAUGGAAGAACACCAGUGGCGAAGGCGGCUGUCUGGUCUGCAACUGACGCUGAGGCUCGAAAGCGUGGGGAGUAAACA
This 207-nucleotide ribosomal RNA is filed under the name uncultured bacterium. RNAcentral describes it as "partial 16S ribosomal RNA". It matches the Rfam family "Bacterial small subunit ribosomal RNA", at positions 568 to 774 of the family's 1533-position model. The record is from RNAcentral.